GGGAACAGGAGAAUCGACGUUUCGGGCAUGAGCCCUUCUUCAGUGGCUGCUUGUGAAGAUUCACCUUUCCUCAGCCUUGGGCUCUCGUUGAUUCUGGAGGGUGCACUAAUAAAAAGCCGCCAAAAUUCUGUGCUGCAAGGGAACAGCGGCCAUGUCAUUGGCAAAGGGCGAAGAAAUAGCAAAGAGCUUCUGGGAG
Non-coding RNA from Chiloscyllium plagiosum (whitespotted bambooshark), 196 nucleotides. The record is from RefSeq and is a predicted model, not a curated record. Lineage: Eukaryota; Metazoa; Chordata; Chondrichthyes; Orectolobiformes; Hemiscylliidae.